AACGAACGCUGGCGGCGUGCCUAACACAUGCAAGUCGAACGGGAUUAAGGAGCUUGCUCCUUAAUCUAGUGGCGCACGGGUGAGUAACGCGUAGAUAAUCUGCCUGAUGAUCUGGAAUAACACUUCGAAAGGGGUGCUAAUACCGGAUAAGCCCACGAGUACUUUGGUGCUUGCGGGAAAAGGAGGGGACCUUUUGGCCUUCCGUCAUCAGAUGAGUCUGCGUACCAUUAGCUAGUUGGUAGGGGAAAGGCCUACCAAGGCGACGAUGGUUAGCUGGUCUGGGGGGAUGAUCAGCCACACUGGAACUGAGACACGGUCAGACUCCGACGGGAGGCAGCAGUGGGGAAUUUUGCGCAAUGGGCGAAAGCCUGACGCAGCAACGCCGCGUGAGUGAUGAAGGCUUUCGGGUCGUAAAGCUCUGUCAGGGGGAAAGAAGUGUAUUGUGGUUAAUACCCAUGAUACUUGACGGUACCCCCAAAGGAAGCACCGGCUAACUCCGUGCCAGCAGCCGCGGUAA
Molecule: ribosomal RNA, 517 nt
Filed under: uncultured bacterium
Lineage: Bacteria
Description: partial 16S ribosomal RNA
Rfam family: Bacterial small subunit ribosomal RNA
Source: RNAcentral